This 497-nucleotide ribosomal RNA is filed under the name uncultured bacterium. RNAcentral's name for it is "partial 16S ribosomal RNA". It matches the Rfam family "Bacterial small subunit ribosomal RNA", at positions 28 to 507 of the family's 1533-position model. The record is from RNAcentral.
GAUGAACGCUGGCGGCGUGCCUAAUACAUGCAAGUCGAGCGAACGGACGAGAAGCUUGCUUCUCUGAUGUUAGCGGCGGACGGGUGAGUAACACCUGGAUAACCUACCUAUAAGGCUGGGAUAACUUCGGGAAACCGGAGCUAAUACCGGAUAAUAUUUUGAACCGCAUGGUUCAAAAGUGAAAGACGGUCUUUCUGUCACUUAUAGAUGGAUCCGCGCUGCAUUAGCUAGUUGGUAAGGUAACGGCUUACCAAGGCAACGAUGCAUAGCCGACCUGAGAGGGUGAUCGGCCACACUGGAACUGAGACACGGUCCAGACUCCUACGGGAGGCAGCAGUAGGGAAUCUUCCGCAAUGGGCGAAAGCCUGACGGAGCAACGCCGCGUGAGUGAUGAAGGUCUUCGGAUCGUAAAACUCUGUUAUUAGGGAAGAACAUAUGUGUAAGUAACUGUGCACAUCUUGACGGUACCUAAUCAGAAAGCCACGGCUAACUACGUG